UACGUAGGAUGCAAGCGUUGUCCGGAUUUACUGGGCGUAAAGCGCGCGCAGGCGGCACAUUAAGUCAGGUGUGAAAUAUCCCGGCUCAACCGGGAGGGUGCACUUUAGACUGAUGAGCUUGAGGUCGGUAGAGGGGGGUGGAAUUGCUGGUGUAGCGGUGAAAUGCGUAGAGAUCAGCAGGAACACCCGUGGCGAAGGCGGCCCCCUGGGCCGUACCUGACGCUGAGGCGCGAAGGCGUGGGGAGCGAACGGG
Molecule: ribosomal RNA, 253 nt
Filed under: uncultured bacterium
Lineage: Bacteria
Description: partial 16S ribosomal RNA
Rfam family: Bacterial small subunit ribosomal RNA
Source: RNAcentral